This 497-nucleotide ribosomal RNA is filed under the name uncultured bacterium. Its description in RNAcentral is "partial 16S ribosomal RNA". It matches the Rfam family "Bacterial small subunit ribosomal RNA", at positions 28 to 507 of the family's 1533-position model. The record is from RNAcentral.
GAUGAACGCUGGCGGCGUGCCUAAUACAUGCAAGUCGAGCGAACAGACGAGAAGCUUGCUUUUCUGAUGUUAGCGGCGGACGGGUGAGUAACACGUGGAUAACCUACCUAUAAGACUGGGAUAACUUCGGGAAACCGGAGCUAAUACCGGGUAAUAUUUUGAACCGCAUGGUUCAAAAGUGAAAGACGGUCUUGCUUUCACUUAUAGAUGGAUCCGCGCUGCAUUAGCUAGUUGGUAAGGUAACGGCUUACCAAGGCAACGAUGCAUAGCCGACCUGAGAGGGUGAUCGGCCACACUGGAACUGAGACACGGUCCAGACUCCUACGGGAGGCAGCAGUAGGGAAUCUUCCGCAAUGGGCGGAAGCCGGACGGAGCAGCGCCGCGUGAGUGAUGAAGGUCUUCGGAUCGUAAAACUCUGUUAUUAGGGAAGAACAUAUGUGUAAGUAACUGUGCACAUCUUGACGGUUCCUAAUCAGAAAGCCACGGCUAACUACGUG